AACGAACGCUGGCGGCAUGCCUAACACAUGCAAGUCGAACGAGACCUUCGGGUCUAGUGGUGCACGGGUGCGUAACGCGUGGGAACCUGCCCUUAGGUUCGGAAUAACUCCCCGAAAGGGGUGCUAAUACCGGAUAAUGUCUUCGGACCAAAGAUUUAUGGCCUUUGGAUGGGCCCGCGUUGGAUUAGCUAGUUGGUAGGGUAAAAGCCUACCAAGGCGACGAUCCAUAGCUGGUCUGAGAGGAUGAUCAGCCACACUGGGACUGAGACACGGCCCAGACUCCUACGGGAGGCAGCAGUGGGGAAUAUUGGACAAUGGGCGAAAGCCUGAUCCAGCAAUGCCGCGUGAGUGAUGAAGGCCUUAGGGUUGUAAAGCUCUUUUACCCGGGAUGAUAAUGACAGUACCGGGAGAAUAAGCUCCGGCUAACUCCGUG
RNAcentral lists this ribosomal RNA (433 nucleotides) under uncultured bacterium. Its description in RNAcentral is "partial 16S ribosomal RNA". It matches the Rfam family "Bacterial small subunit ribosomal RNA", at positions 29 to 507 of the family's 1533-position model. The record is from RNAcentral.